This 491-nucleotide ribosomal RNA is filed under the name uncultured bacterium. RNAcentral describes it as "partial 16S ribosomal RNA". It matches the Rfam family "Bacterial small subunit ribosomal RNA", at positions 29 to 506 of the family's 1533-position model. The record is from RNAcentral.
AGUGAACGCUGGCGGUAGGCCUAACACAUGCAAGUCGAACGGCAGCACAGUAAGAGCUUGCUCUUACGGGUGGCGAGUGGCGGACGGGUGAGGAAUACAUCGGAAUCUACUUUUUCGUGGGGGAUAACGUAGGGAAACUUACGCUAAUACCGCAUACGACCUACGGGUGAAAGCAGGGGAUCUUCGGACCUUGCGCGAGUGAAUGAGCCGAUGUCGGAUUAGCUAGUUGGCGGGGAAAAGGCCCACCAAGGCGACGAUCCGUAGCUGGUCUGAGAGGAUAAUCAGCCACACGGGAACUGGGACACGGCCCAAACCCCUACGGGAGGCAGCAGUGGGAAAUUUUGGCCAAUGGGCGCAAGCCUGAUCCAGCCAUACCGCGGGGGUGAAGAAGGCCUUCGGGUUGUAAAGCCCUUUUGUUGGGAAAGAAAAGCAGCAGGUUAAUACCCCGCUGUUCUGACGGUACCCAAAGAAUAAGCACCGGCAAACUUCGU